RNAcentral lists this small nuclear RNA (118 nucleotides) under Neogale vison (American mink). Its description in RNAcentral is "Neovison vison (American mink) U4 spliceosomal RNA (ENSNVIG00000009093.1)". It matches the Rfam family "U4 spliceosomal RNA". Rfam says of the family: U4 small nuclear RNA (U4 snRNA) is a component of the major U2-dependent spliceosome. The structure of U4 snRNA from yeast and human has been reported. The record is from Rfam by way of RNAcentral. Lineage: Eukaryota; Metazoa; Chordata; Mammalia; Carnivora; Mustelidae.
AGCUUUGCGCAGUGGCAGUAUCGUAGCCAAUGAGGUUUAUCCGAGGCGCGAUUAUUGCUAAUUGAAACUUAAAACUAAAAUUAUUUAAAAUAUGUAUUUGUUAAUUCACUUAAACGUA